RNAcentral lists this ribosomal RNA (250 nucleotides) under uncultured bacterium. RNAcentral's name for it is "partial 16S ribosomal RNA". It matches the Rfam family "Bacterial small subunit ribosomal RNA", at positions 355 to 622 of the family's 1533-position model. The record is from RNAcentral.
UCGGGAAUUUUGGGCAAUGGGCGAAAGCCUGACCCAGCAACGCCGCGUGAAGGAUGAAGUUUUUCGGAAUGUAAACUUCGUAAGAAUAGGAAGAAUAAAUGACGGUACUAUUUGUAAGGUCCGGCUAACUACGUGCCAGCAGCCGCGGUAAUACGUAGGGACCAAGCGUUGUUCGGAUUUACUGGGCGUAAAGGGCGCGUAGGCGGCAAUUCAAGUCAGCUGUGAAAUCUCCGGGCUUAACUCGGAACGG